Long non-coding RNA from Ostrea edulis (European flat oyster), 415 nucleotides. RefSeq lists it as uncharacterized. NCBI's taxonomy places the organism in Eukaryota, Metazoa, Mollusca, Bivalvia, Ostreida, Ostreidae. The record is from RefSeq and is a predicted model, not a curated record. The transcript has 4 exons.
AAGCAGGAGAGUACCUCAGAUUUAAAUGUACAGUAGAAGUGGAGCGGAUUUAAUAAUGUUUUAUUAAUCACCGUAUACUUGUAAACUGUGUACGUGUUAGUAUGGGGUCCACCAUAAAUAAAGAAGCUGAAGUUAAACCAGUCAGUGUUUUCCUAAGACGUUCACUUAAAGAAUACAACGAGGGGUCUGAUAGGAUGGAAGCCAUAUUUGGAAUAUGGAGAAAUACCGCGUAAUAGGAGAACGGGCACUGACGGAGAUAAAUCAGCGCUUAAUAAUGAAUGACGCUAAUCCCCGGACAACGUUACCAAAAACAUAUCCCACUGUGCAAAUUCAGAAGAGCUUUUUUACCGGAGUACAGGAUCUGUAUUGGAUAAGUGUACUGAUCAAAAAGAAUUAAAUAUAUUACAGCAAUAUA